RNA transcript from Chroicocephalus ridibundus (black-headed gull), 4781 nucleotides. It is a transcript of the gene named activator of 90 kDa heat shock protein ATPase homolog 2-like, with no coding region annotated. The record is from RefSeq and is a predicted model, not a curated record. NCBI's taxonomy places the organism in Eukaryota, Metazoa, Chordata, Aves, Charadriiformes, Laridae. The transcript is spliced from 10 exons.
GGGGAACUUUCUGGCACCUUCUGGCUGGGCCGCCGGCGGGCGGAAGCGGCGGGCGGAGGCGGGCGCUGCGCUGCGGCGGUGUCCGGGGAGGGAGCGGUGGCCGGUGGCCGGGCCAUCGCCAUGGCCAAGUGGGGACAGGGGGACCCGCGAUGGAUCGUGGAGGAGCGCGCGGACGCCACCAACGUCAACAACUGGCACUGGACGGAGCGGGACGCGACCAGCUGGUCGAAGAGCAAGCUGAAGGAGGUGCUGGUGGGGCUGGUGGUGGAGGGCGAGGCCGGGCGCUGCGAGAUCAGCGACCUGAAGCAGGUGGAAGGCGAGGCGUCCUGCAACAGCCGCAAAGGGAAGCUCAUCUUCUUCUACGAGUGGAACCUGCGCCUCAGCUGGAAAGGUACAGUGAAAGAGUCUGGUGAGAAACAUAAGGGAUCUGUUGAAAUUCCUAACCUGUCAGAAGAAAAUGAGGUAGAUGAUACAGAGAUAAACAUUAGCAAAAAGAAGGGGGAAGGCGAUGUUCUGAAGGACCUUAUGAGAACUGAAGGAACCACAAAAGUCAGAGAGGCCCUGAGAGAUUACCUGAAAGCACUUAAAACAGAGUUUACCUUGGGAAUGAUCCUGCCAACAAAAACUGCUGUUGGUCAGGAGCCGGCCACAGAGCGAAAACCAAGUGGGAACACUGUGCAAGAUUCUGUUUCAGCACAGUCUGUGGAUAUAAUUGGUGUAAAAAUUCCAACAGUGAAGAUACUUAUGAGAGAAAUAUUCAACUCUCCAGCAGAUGAACUUUACAGCAUCUUCACAACUAAGGAAUUGGUACAGAAGUUUUCUAAAUGUCCUGCUGUGAUCGAAGCUGAGAAAGGAGGCAAACUUCUGAUGUUUGAUGGGUGCGUCAGCGGUGAAUAUGCAGAACUGGUCCCAAGCCAGAGAAUUGUCCUGAAGUGGAGGUGCAGAAGCUGGCCUGACGAACAUUACGCAACAGUUGCUUUGAAUUUCAAGGAUAUGGCUGCGCAAACAGAACUGCAGUUAGAGUGCAAAGGAGUUCCUGUCUCUAACGAGGAUAGUACAAGACAAUGCUGGAAGAAGCAGUAUUUUGAAGAAAUACGUACUUUACUGCAGCAAGCCAAAGACAACAUGGAAUGACAACAGCACUGUAGUUUUGUUAGGGCAUUACUUUUUAUACUUUGUUAACAUUUGUUUUUUAAAAAAAAAGUAAUUUAUUUGUGGGAAGAAUAAAGACCCACUUAUAUGAUACUGUAUAUAAUUUAAGCAUUAUUUAUGGAUUUUUAGUGAGUGAGGUGGCGAGUAAGUCGGACUACAUAAACAGCUUUACUUGGGGAAACUGAUCUCUGUUCUGCUUGCCUCCAACUUCACUUCAGAGAGUAACAGCGGUUCGGCUGCAGUGAAGUGCUGCCAUGGUAGGACACCAACACAUGGCAACCUUCCCACACACCAGCGUACAUCAUGCAGAAGAUAAGGAAGUGCUGCUCUCUUCUACAGGCGAGGCUUUCCCGGGGGAGUUUGGGGUCAGGUCUCUUACCCGCUGUGUGCUUAGGUGAGGUUUGUUGUAGUGACAAGAGCAGAGGCCUGGCCGCGACAGGCUGGUUACCAAGCGUCACAUUGCUUGUGGUUUAGGUGUCCACUCAGAGGGUGGAGAACAGCCUCUUGACAAACGUCAUGUUUUAGCAUCUUUCUUUUUCCGAAUGCUCAGAAUUUAAGUUACCCUUUUUUCGGUAAAUACUCAAGAACAAUGAGUCUAACACUUUGAAUACAAAAAUGAUUUAAAGUAUUGGUUGAUGAAGGGGCAACCUUUAAAUAAGAAGAGAAAAUCUAGGUUUAAGACAGAGGGGGCGAAGCGGUUUUAUGUGUACACGACCCAAGCGACAGUUUAGUAUCUGAGAGUAGGCUGUUACAUCCAGUUACACAUUCUUUUCAAACGGUGUAUCCUACAGCCCUAGCACUCCUCUGGGAAGUAUGUAUCACCAGUUUUCCCUCCCGACUAAACACCCUCUGGCUUAGAGUCCCAAGUACCCACUACUUGUAUGUUUUGCUAGUCUGAAUUUGUGUGUCUCCUUCCCCUAGCAGGGGCAAUCAGCCGGACCAACUGCCCAUCAUCAGUGUUUAAAAAAAAAAGUGACUUACUUGUGUUUCCAGUGUCCGACCACUCAGUGUCAGGUGUGGGAUGGUGCAAACCCCCAGAACACUCUGCAGGGAGGUCCAAGCCUGUGCAAGGCGGAACAGCCCCCGCCAGCCCUCAUUUCCUCCUGAAGGAGAGGGCAGGAACUGCAGGUGACGUGUCAUCUUUAGUUGUCGUCUUGUCCCGUCGUGCCUGCACAGCUGUAAGUUUGGUAAUACGGACAAGCUUUCCGUACUUAAAAACAUGAAGUACCUACCUUUCCUUCCUGCCAGCGUAGCGCAGGAAACGGGCAGUCGGCUUGCGCACACGUGAAGGGCCCCCGAUUGACUGUCCCUGCAGGCCAAAAAAAGGUCAGGUUUUUAUUCUUGCCUCACCAGCAUUCCUGCGCUUUUCCCAUCUUCACUGUGUGUGCUGGAACACAGCUGCCAGUAGUAUAUUGCCGAUCUGAAACUUCAGUGUCUGCACACAGUUGUUUUGGAUUCCGGAAAAAAUCAGAAAGAAGUGCAUUUUACUUUGAGCAGGUAGCCGGCAGGAGGAUUUCCAAAGAACGUUAAACUACUCGUUAUCCUCAGUCCUUGAGCUAGAUGGAGCAGAGUUAGGAAUUGCAUACCGUGUAGUCACAGUAUGAUGAUAACAAUAUGAUAGUGCCAUACAUAAACCAUACGGUAUCACAUAUCAUGCAACGAUAGUAUCAGACGUGUAGUUUGUUUUCUGAGUAAGUCUCUGUUCUUCCUUAUGCCAAACUUUUCUCAAUGUAACAAAAGGGCAAACAGCAGCAGUGCAGAUGUGUGCACAGAGCUUGAAAUAGCCUCGCAUUUACUGGAAUUCAUGUGUUUUAAGAAGAGAGUAAUGAGCGCAGAAGACAUCCCAGGGAGGGCGAGCAGCAUGAAAGAAGAGACAGUUUUGUCUGUGAUGCAGCGCGUUCAUAACAUAGUAAGAUUCUGGACAACAAGCUGGUCUCUGAGACAGCCGAAAGGAAAAAUAAUUGAAUUUGUAAGAUUAUAGCCAAAAAUCAGCCCAGAGGGUGGCUGUUAAGGGGAAAGUAUUUUAGAAGCUUAAUUCUGAAGGGGUUAAAUGGGAGGUGGGACUUCCAGGAGGAAAUACGCAGCAGUUAAAUGGGAAGUGGGAUGGCGGAAGAGAAUAAAAGCUUUAAGGGACUGAGGAAGCCAGUUAAAUAAAGGCGGGGGUUUCAGAGACAGGGAUAAAAAAAAGCAUCCUUGAAGGCAAAGAAAUACAAACUAGAAAAUGGAUUAAAAGUAAAAGAAGGAGAAUACUGUGGAAGAAAUGACUUACAGAACAUGCAAGAUGUGAGGGACACAGGAAGAUAUAAGAAAAAAACGGGGCAGACAAGGAUACAGAAGAGAUGACAAGUUUGUGCAGGUACUGCUUGCGUUUGUUUAAAAAACUGAAUACUGGGAAAUAAUUCCCAGUAAGAAUUACAGGAAAUUGGAAGGUAACGUAAGGGAAGAGCAGUAACAAUAACGAUAAUUCUGGAAAUCUUGACACAACUUCUGAGCAAAAGAACAGAACAGCUAGUAUUAAAUUCGUUCAGUUUAGAACCACAGGAUAAUCGUUAAAGCGAAGCAAGAUGGUUUUUAAUACCUGGUCAACUUUGCUGUAGCUUUUUGCAGAGGUUGCUUCUCUGUGCGCUGCCGCUCUUGCUACAUAAAGGCGCUUUGCUUCCAGAGCCACCAAACCCGAGCGUACCGCACCGCUGAGACCCAACCCGAAACGCUCACUUCUUCGGGAAUGGGAAACGGUUAUCAAAUAAAUGGGCUUCUAGUGUGAUUCUAGAUAUUUGUCAGAAAACUAUGGACAGUAAAAUACAAAAUAACCACUACUAGCAUGUGUCAGUUACAUAUACAGGCCUGUAGGGGAAAACACCCUAAAAAUAACUUGGAGGACCUAGUCCUUAGUCAGUGACCAGCUGAACACAGAGGGGCUAAGGUUCACCUGGGAAAACAGAUGGGGAAGAAGGGUGUAUCAUUUGUAAAAUUGUUAUUAAAUACCGUUUAUACUUAGUAUUUGCUUCUAAAAGGGGUUUCAAAACAAUGAGAGAAAAAACAUCACAAAAGACAGAGUCCUGCACUUUAGUAGCAGAAUUAUGGUGCGAUCUCAUCCCGCGUGAGAAGCUAAAGCCAAAGUCCAACAGCUGAAAGGGGAAGUCAGACAAUGUACCAACAAUCAGACGUGCAUUUUAACUAGGAGUAAUUAAUUAACUGCGACUACUCACCCAAGGGUUACAAUGGCUGCUUCAUCUCCUGAAGGUCUUUAGAUGGACGGGGAGAACCUUCCUCAAGACAUCUCCACCCAACCCCAAAGGAGCAGGCUCGGUAGAAGACUUGAUAGAUGAAUUCUGAUUCAUUAUGGAGAAGUUUUGACCAGCAGCUGUUGAUGAUUUCUCUGACGCGACAAUCUAUGGGGAAGUUGAUCAGAACAGGUAAUACAAUUACUCCUAAAGAGAGUGAAAACAUAACUACUUCAUGUCUGAAUAAUCCGCACUUACCAGCAUCAAUACAGUGUAAAUGCAGCAAUAAAAGUGCUAAGGACGGGGAAUAGAAAGUCUAAACUUUAAAGACGGAAAUUAUUAAUUACAGAAGGUUAAAAAAAUGAGAGUAGAUUCAGAGUAAGAGUUGUCACAAGAGCAUCGCGU